CUGAGCGCGCAGCCCGCUGGCCCCGCUGCUGCUGCCCCCCCCCGCUGCCCCCCCCCGCUCCGCCCUCCGGGGCUCCCCGCGCUUACCCAGCCCUCGGGCCCUGCACCUGUUGAACUGGCAGAAGUUCGGUCCCUCCCGGGAUGCCGGUGGUCCUAAAAACAGACUUGCACUGCGGUGUUCCCUUCCCGAAAGAAGAGGAUUGUGUGCCAUCUUGUGGUUGAGGGGCAUCACAACAGCGGUUCUGCACCCAGAGCAUCCUUUCUAGUCCAGCACCGGCCUUACCUGCCAUAAAGCUCUGGAACGGGUUCUGGUUCAGCGGUAGGAGCAAUCAGAGAAUGCAUCUCCAGAGAGACACUGGGGACUGAACUGGUAAUGAAUGGCAUUGGAGUACGGUCCAAAGGGAUUUUUCCUGCAACUGGUGGGAAUUGUAAAUCUCAUCCCUGUUAUUCCAUCUUGACUGGAAAUGGCAGAUGAGCAAACCAAGGUCUUUGACCCCAAAUCCUGUGCUCUUUCCUUAAGAAGCCUGAUGGAAGAGAAGAAAUCAUCACAACACCCAGGAGUCAUGAAAAGCACCUGGAGCAUGUAAUCUGUUCCAAAUGGGCAAAGCCUUCCCAGGGGGACCAGGGAUGGUCCACAGAGCCUCUGCCCUUCCCUCUGUGGUGGAAGAUCUCCCUCUCGAUGUAGCUACGCAAGCCCAGGGUGACUCUCACUUUUCUUCCAUUCUCCCCCUCCUUCUUUCUCUCAUCUUUCUUCCUCCCUCUUUCCACCCUUCUUUCUCCCUUCCCUCGUCACCCUCUGGCAGCUGGAUUGAGGCUGAAGAUGGGGUGUCAGACGCAGUCAGAUGUGGAGCUGCUGCCGAUGCACCUGCCCAGCAAUUUGCAUUCACCACUCAUUCAGUCCUUACAAAAACCUCGAGAAGAGGCACUUCUCCCCGUGACACAAGGAGAGGAACUGAGGCUAAGAGAGCUUCUGUCAUUCCUGUAAGGCCAUUGUACUGGUUAGUAAGUGAUUUCUUUCUGUUUCAGAACCCAUCUUUUCUGUGAUGCUGAGGCCUGGACUCUGCAAACCACAUUUCUGCUUUAUCACUGGCUCUUCGUUGGCAGGCUAGCAGGAGACUGUCGCGCUGGGCAAGGGAGAAGGGACUGCUGCUUCCUAUUUGCUUCCCAGUAAGGUCAGCAUCUCGCCCGUAGUGGUUUUCACCUCUGCAGCAGUAACUUCCCACAUCCCCAGACCGGCCCUUCAAAAAUAUCAGCAUCAGUCAACUCAGAGGUCCAGGUCCCAGUUAUAAAGGGCUCUGCUCCGAGCUUUGAGGUUCUAAUAUCCUCAUCCUCUUCUCUUUGUCCUGCUAGCCCUUGGGGCAGUCACUGCUUCCUAAAGUCACCAUCCCUCUGUGCCUCAGUGGCCUCUUUGUUCUUUUUACCUUUUUGCAUCUCCAGUACCCAUUUAAACAAUUCCUCUGUUAAAUUCUUUUCUGUUAAAGUUACUGGCUUAGUUUCUGUUUUCCUAAUACACAGAGCACUAGGAUUCAAAACCAAGUAUGUUUGACUCCAAAUCCAGGCCCUUGAUCCCUACUCUGGGCUAUUCCCAUCCGCUCCCUUUCCUACCUGUGGCAAAGAUACAUUGCUUUGAUCAAACUUUACUCAACCUCCUAAUCCUUCUCCUAGGCCCAUCUGUGCACCACCUUAUAAAAAUCUAGUUUUGUCAAGAACCCUGCUAAAUCAGUUUAUCCAGAACCUUCCACCUUCGAUAUCUGAUCAGGCUCCCCAUGCUCCAC
Long non-coding RNA from Mirounga angustirostris (Northern elephant seal), 1774 nucleotides. RefSeq lists it as uncharacterized. The record is from RefSeq and is a predicted model, not a curated record. Lineage: Eukaryota; Metazoa; Chordata; Mammalia; Carnivora; Phocidae. The transcript is spliced from 4 exons.